GUCUAUGGCCAUACCACCCUAAAUGCACCCUGAAUGCUCUCUUCUGAUCUCAAAAGCUAAGCAGGAUUGGGCCUUUUUAGUACUUGAAUAGAAGAAUAGACUAUUAAAAGACACUAGAGAAA
This 122-nucleotide ribosomal RNA is filed under the name Cavia porcellus (domestic guinea pig). The record is from RNAcentral. Lineage: Eukaryota; Metazoa; Chordata; Mammalia; Rodentia; Caviidae.